RNAcentral lists this unclassified non-coding RNA (356 nucleotides) under soil metagenome. Its description in RNAcentral is "partial contains 5.8S ribosomal RNA, internal transcribed spacer 2, and large subunit ribosomal RNA". The stretch from base 1 to 120 matches the Rfam family "5.8S ribosomal RNA", at positions 35 to 154 of the family's 154-position model. The record is from RNAcentral.
GAUGAAGAACGUAGCGAAAUGCGAUAAGUAAUGUGAAUUGCAGAAUUCAGUGAAUCAUCGAAUCUUUGAACGCACAUUGCGCCCGUCAGUAUUCUGGCGGGCAUGCCUGUUCGAGCGUCAUUACGCCCCUCAAGUCCCCUGUGGACUUGGUGUUGGGGAUCGGCGAGGCUGGUUUUCCAGCACAGCCGUCCCCUAAAUUCAGUGGCGGUCCCGCCGCAGCCACCUCUGCGUAGUAGUUUUCUCCUCGCAAGGGCAGCUCGACGACGACCACGCCGUAAAACCCCCAACUUCUGAAAGGUUGACCUCGAAUCAGGUAGGAAUACCCGCUGAACUUAAGCAUAUCAAUAAGCGGAGGA